RNAcentral lists this ribosomal RNA (253 nucleotides) under uncultured bacterium. Its description in RNAcentral is "partial 16S ribosomal RNA". It matches the Rfam family "Bacterial small subunit ribosomal RNA", at positions 524 to 776 of the family's 1533-position model. The record is from RNAcentral.
UACGAAGGGGGCUAGCGUUGCUCGGAAUGACUGGGCGUAAAGGGCGCGUAGGCGGCGGUCACAGUCAGAUGUGAAAUUCCUGGGCUUAACCUGGGGGCUGCAUUUGAUACGUGGUUGCUUGAGUGGGGAAGAGGGUCGUGGAAUUCCCAGUGUAGAGGUGAAAUUCGUAGAUAUUCGGAAGAACACCAGUGGCGAAGGCGGCUUACUGGUCCGGAACUGACGCUGAGGUGCGAAAGCGUGGGGAGCAAACAGG